CGCUAGUAAUCGCGGAUCAGAAUGCCGCGGUGAAUACGUUCCCGGGUCUUGUACACACCGCCCGUCACACCAUGGGAGUCGGGAAUGCCCGAAGCCGGUGGCCCAAUCGAAAGAAGGGAGCCGUCGAAGGCAGGCCGGAUGACUGGGGUGAAGUCGUAACAAGGUAUC
This 168-nucleotide ribosomal RNA is filed under the name uncultured bacterium. Its description in RNAcentral is "partial 16S ribosomal RNA". It matches the Rfam family "Bacterial small subunit ribosomal RNA", at positions 1333 to 1500 of the family's 1533-position model. The record is from RNAcentral.